RNAcentral lists this ribosomal RNA (440 nucleotides) under uncultured bacterium. RNAcentral's name for it is "partial 16S ribosomal RNA". It matches the Rfam family "Bacterial small subunit ribosomal RNA", at positions 338 to 795 of the family's 1533-position model. The record is from RNAcentral.
CCUACGGGUGGCAGCAGUGGGGAAUAUUGCACAAUGGGGGAAACCCUGAUGCAGCGACGCCGCGUGAGUGAAGAAGUAAUUCGUUAUGUAAAGCUCUAUCAGCAGGGGAGAAAAUGACAGUACCUGAGUUAGAUGCCCCGUCUAACUACGUUCCAGCAGCCGCGGUAAUACGUAGGGGGCAAGCGUUAUCCGGAUUUACUGGGUGUAAAGGGAGCGUAGACGGCAGUGCAAGUCUGUAGUGAAAGUCGGGGGCUCAACCCUCGGACUGCAGUGGAAACUGUACGGCUGGAGUGCAGGAGAGGUAAGUGGAAUUCGUGGUGUAGCGGUGAAAUGCGUAGAUAUUAGGAGGAACACCGGUGGCGAAGGCGGCUUGCUGGACUGUAACUGACGUUGAGGCUCGAAAGUGUGGGGAGCAAACAGGAUUAGAUACCCUUGUAGUC